RNAcentral lists this ribosomal RNA (1550 nucleotides) under Klebsiella pneumoniae. RNAcentral's name for it is "bacterial SSU rRNA". It matches the Rfam family "Bacterial small subunit ribosomal RNA". The record is from RNAcentral. Lineage: Bacteria; Pseudomonadati; Pseudomonadota; Gammaproteobacteria; Enterobacterales; Enterobacteriaceae.
AAAUUGAAGAGUUUGAUCAUGGCUCAGAUUGAACGCUGGCGGCAGGCCUAACACAUGCAAGUCGAGCGGUAGCACAGAGAGCUUGCUCUCGGGUGACGAGCGGCGGACGGGUGAGUAAUGUCUGGGAAACUGCCUGAUGGAGGGGGAUAACUACUGGAAACGGUAGCUAAUACCGCAUAAUGUCGCAAGACCAAAGUGGGGGACCUUCGGGCCUCAUGCCAUCAGAUGUGCCCAGAUGGGAUUAGCUAGUAGGUGGGGUAACGGCUCACCUAGGCGACGAUCCCUAGCUGGUCUGAGAGGAUGACCAGCCACACUGGAACUGAGACACGGUCCAGACUCCUACGGGAGGCAGCAGUGGGGAAUAUUGCACAAUGGGCGCAAGCCUGAUGCAGCCAUGCCGCGUGUGUGAAGAAGGCCUUCGGGUUGUAAAGCACUUUCAGCGGGGAGGAAGGCGGUGAGGUUAAUAACCUCAUCGAUUGACGUUACCCGCAGAAGAAGCACCGGCUAACUCCGUGCCAGCAGCCGCGGUAAUACGGAGGGUGCAAGCGUUAAUCGGAAUUACUGGGCGUAAAGCGCACGCAGGCGGUCUGUCAAGUCGGAUGUGAAAUCCCCGGGCUCAACCUGGGAACUGCAUUCGAAACUGGCAGGCUAGAGUCUUGUAGAGGGGGGGUAGAAUUCCAGGUGUAGCGGUGAAAUGCGUAGAGAUCUGGAGGAAUACCGGUGGCGAAGGCGGCCCCCUGGACAAAGACUGACGCUCAGGUGCGAAAGCGUGGGGAGCAAACAGGAUUAGAUACCCUGGUAGUCCACGCCGUAAACGAUGUCGAUUUGGAGGUUGUGCCCUUGAGGCGUGGCUUCCGGAGCUAACGCGUUAAAUCGACCGCCUGGGGAGUACGGCCGCAAGGUUAAAACUCAAAUGAAUUGACGGGGGCCCGCACAAGCGGUGGAGCAUGUGGUUUAAUUCGAUGCAACGCGAAGAACCUUACCUGGUCUUGACAUCCACAGAACUUUCCAGAGAUGGAUUGGUGCCUUCGGGAACUGUGAGACAGGUGCUGCAUGGCUGUCGUCAGCUCGUGUUGUGAAAUGUUGGGUUAAGUCCCGCAACGAGCGCAACCCUUAUCCUUUGUUGCCAGCGGUCCGGCCGGGAACUCAAAGGAGACUGCCAGUGAUAACUGGAGGAAGGUGGGGAUGACGUCAAGUCAUCAUGGCCCUUACGACCAGGGCUACACACGUGCUACAAUGGCAUAUACAAAGAGAAGCGACCUCGCGAGAGCAAGCGGACCUCAUAAAGUAUGUCGUAGUCCGGAUUGGAGUCUGCAACUCGACUCCAUGAAGUCGGAAUCGCUAGUAAUCGUAGAUCAGAAUGCUACGGUGAAUACGUUCCCGGGCCUUGUACACACCGCCCGUCACACCAUGGGAGUGGGUUGCAAAAGAAGUAGGUAGCUUAACCUUCGGGAGGGCGCUUACCACUUUGUGAUUCAUGACUGGGGUGAAGUCGUAACAAGGUAACCGUAGGGGAACCUGCGGUUGGAUCACCUCCUUACCUUAAAGAA